UUGAACGCUGGCGGCAGGCCUAACACCUGCAAGUCGAGCGGAUGAAGGGAGCUUGCUCCUGGAUUCAGCGGCGGACGGGUGGGUAAUGCCUCGGAAUCUGCCUGGUAGUGGGGGAUAACGUCCGGAAACGGGCGCUAAUACCGCAUACGUCCUGAGGGAGAAAGUGGGGGAUCUUCGGACCUCACGCUAUCAGAUGAGCCUAGGUCGGAUUAGCUAGUUGGUGGGGUAAAGGCCUACCAAGGCGACGAUCCGUAACUGGUCUGAGAGGAUGAUCAGUCACACUGGAACUGAGACACGGUCCAGACUCCUACGGGAGGCAGCAGUGGGGAAUAUUGGACAAUGGGCGAAAGCCUGAUGCAGCCAUGCCGCGUGGGUGAAGAAGGUCUUCGGAUUGUAAAGCACUUUAAGUUGGGAGGAAGAGCAGUAAGUUAAUACCUUGCUGUUUUGACGUUACCAACAGAAUAAGCACCGGCUAACUUCGUG
Molecule: ribosomal RNA, 483 nt
Filed under: uncultured bacterium
Lineage: Bacteria
Description: partial 16S ribosomal RNA
Rfam family: Bacterial small subunit ribosomal RNA
Source: RNAcentral